GCUGGAGCCUGCCCGUGCAGCGACGCCUACGCAUGCCUUCCUCUUCAGUUGUAGGCACAAGUGCUACCUAGCCUUGGCCGAUACCCGGGUUUCCUGUGUUUCAUACCUACUAGAUGGAAUUGGACCGUAAAUCAUCGAACGAUCGCCUAAUGCCACCCUCGUUUCGUUGGUGGUUGAGGGCGAUCUGCUAACCAAAUUUUGUGAUCUUCGCGGAAUGAUUUCAAAACCUUGCUGCCAAGGCCCAGCCUUCUUUGCUCGAACGGAGGGAUCAAAAAAAUAGGGUGGGCACGGGUCUUUCUUGACCCCAAUUUGCCCCACACACGAAAAAACAUUCAAACAACUUUUGACGGGCACUGGGCCUUUUGGGCCGCAACCCUCAAAUCCGGGAAGAAAUGUACCU
Molecule: unclassified non-coding RNA, 400 nt
Filed under: Galium forrestii
Lineage: Eukaryota; Viridiplantae; Streptophyta; Magnoliopsida; Gentianales; Rubiaceae
Description: partial external transcribed spacer
Source: RNAcentral